This 241-nucleotide ribosomal RNA is filed under the name uncultured bacterium. RNAcentral's name for it is "partial 16S ribosomal RNA". It matches the Rfam family "Bacterial small subunit ribosomal RNA", at positions 92 to 334 of the family's 1533-position model. The record is from RNAcentral.
CGACCGGCGCACGGGUGCGUAACGCGUAUGCAACCUACCUUUAACAGGGGGAUAACACUGAGAAAUUGGUACUAAUACCCCAUAAUAUCAUAGAAGGCAUCUUUUAUGGUUGAAAAUUCCGAUGGUUAGAGAUGGGCAUGCGUUGUAUUAGCUAGUUGGUGGGGUAACGGCUCACCAAGGCGACGAUACAUAGGGGGACUGAGAGGUUGACCCCCCACACUGGUACUGAGACACGGACCAG